GAUGAACGCUAGCUACAGGCUUAACACAUGCAAGUCGAGGGACAGGCGCACGGGUGAGUAACGCAUAUCCAACCUACCCAUUACUGUGGGAUAACCUGCCGAAAGGCAGACUAAUACCGCAUAGUCAUGGAUGGGGAUGCGUGUGAUUCGCUUGUUGGCGGGGUAACGGCACACCAAGGCAACGAUCCGUAGGGGUUCUGAAAGGAAGGGCCCCCACAUUGGAACUGAGACACGUGCCAAACUCCUACGUGAGGCAGCAGUUAGGAAUAUUGGUCAAUGGGCGCGAGCCUGAACCAGCCAAGUAGCGUGCAGGAUGACGGCCUAUGGGUUGUAAACUGCUUUUGUAUGGGGAUAGGGACCAUACGAAUAAGGACCGGCUAAUUCCGUGCCAGCAGCCGCGGUAAUUC
This 407-nucleotide ribosomal RNA is filed under the name uncultured bacterium. RNAcentral's name for it is "partial 16S ribosomal RNA". It matches the Rfam family "Bacterial small subunit ribosomal RNA", at positions 28 to 526 of the family's 1533-position model. The record is from RNAcentral.